CCUACGGGAGGCUGCAGUGAGGAAUAUUGGUCAAUGGACGAGAGUCUGAACCAGCCAAGUAGCGUGAAGGAUGACUGCCCUAUGGGUUGUAAACUUCUUUUAUAAAGGAAUAAAACGAGGCACGUGUGCCUUGUUGCAUGUACUUUAUGAAUAAGGAUCGGCGAACUCCGUGCCAGCAGCCGCGGUAAUACGGAGGAUCCGAGCGUUAUCCGGAUUUAUUGGGUUUAAAGGGAGCGUAGAUGGGUUGUUAAGUCAGUUGUGAAAGUUUGCGGCUCAACCGUAAAAUUGCAAUUGAUACUGGCAGUCUUGAGUACAGUUGAGGUAGGCGGAAUUCGUGGUGUAGCGGUGAAAUGCUUAGAUAUCACGAAGAACCCCGAUUGCGAAGGCAGCUUACUAAACUGUGACUGACAUUGAUGCUCGAAAGUGUGGGUAUCAAACAGGAUUAGAUACCCCGGUAGUC
This 460-nucleotide ribosomal RNA is filed under the name uncultured bacterium. RNAcentral's name for it is "partial 16S ribosomal RNA". It matches the Rfam family "Bacterial small subunit ribosomal RNA", at positions 338 to 795 of the family's 1533-position model. The record is from RNAcentral.